GUGAAGGCCCUCGCGAGGCUUUGAAAAUUCUAUUAAAAAGUGUCCAGUGGGGUUUAAAAAGUCGCCAAAAGUAGCCCUUGCAGGGCUUUUUGGGGCAAAUUUUAGAACAAUCUCUUUCUAACUCCAUAGGCCGCUCCACUCUUGGUUGGAAACACAAUCCCCAUUUUUGAAUUUAGAAAAAUGCGUAAAAAUGAGCCGCACAACACAGUUUCAUUUUUUGCCAACAUAAAAUUUACACGUGCCUACUAGCAAAUAAGUGCGAAAACUAAGCCAUUUGACGUCCCAUGAGCUGUCCUUCUCCUCAGUCGCACAGUUUCAAUUUUUGAAGGCUGUAGCCGUAAUUAAUCACGACUCCUUUUUCAUGUUGGCUUUUAAGUUUUGGAUUAUAUACACGGGCAUGUGUGGUGUACUAGACAUCCACAGAGGAGCUUCCUGCCCAUGUGUGGCCAGCACUCCGUCUUCUUCGCGAAGAUAGGUUAUCAACGGCUGGUAUUUUACUCGUAAUAAAGGAUUUUAUGAGUUCAAAUCAUGUCCUAACUUGGUGAAAAUCAACUCCCAUGGUUGUACCUAUAUCGGAUUAGUCAGUUGCCAGCAAAAAUGAAAAUACGACAGUGGAAAGUUUUGAAGCGGUGCCAAUGGUGUACUGCGUAAAAAACAGAUAUUUGCGAACUAAAAAAAUUGUUACGUAAAUACGAAAAAACGAAUUCGGGAAUGCUCCACAUUACUCCAGCUGUAUACUCAGCUGUGUAUACUCAGCUGUUAUCACUAAACAUGCGGCGGGAUUUCGCCGGAGCGCAAAGAAUGUACCUCAUGAGUUUCCAUUUCUAUUCGGUGUUUCUGAACGGUUUCUCACUUGAACCCUCAACGACAAACAUAAUGGUCUUUACCCUCCUGACAAUUCACAUACUUUAUUUAACAACCUGCUUGCAUGCUGCCAAUGUCGUGCUUUAUGCUAAUAAGGAUUUUAAGGACCCAAAGUGUGACAUAUCCCUCCAGGGCUGCAAUGCUAUUUGCCCAAAUGUGUCAGGCAAGGUAACCUCUAUUCAGCCAUCGAAAGGCGCUUGCAUGAGGUUCUUCAGCACUCCGAAUUGCAAAGGUGGGCCUCCAGUUUACAAGGCGGCAUACACCGAUGAAUUUCGCAUAGGAUUGCCCGAUCUAACUGGCAGCAUCUUUCAGACAGCGAAAGGCAUAGGCGAUUGUAACACACCAAACGGAAUCCCGCAGAAUUCCCUUGGGUUUUUCUCUGAGAAGCACUUCAAAGGAAAAUCUUGCGUUGUGCCGGUAAGUGGCUGCAAAGCAUUAAAUCAAGAUCUGGCGGGCAAAUCGCAGUCUUUCAUCAUGAACUCGAAGUGCUGCACUGUCUACGGGAACAAGAACUGUUCAGAACCGGGGAUUUUAGCUUUCGUGGCAACCGAUUUUGGAACCGCGUAUGCAGAUUACUCAGGCAAUCCUGAUUGGGCCAAAUACAAAACUAUCUCUUCCGUCAAAGAUUCUUGCGAAUAACGGAGGGGAAACAACGGAAAAGAGUUUAG
Molecule: long non-coding RNA, 1532 nt
Filed under: Bemisia tabaci
Lineage: Eukaryota; Metazoa; Arthropoda; Insecta; Hemiptera; Aleyrodidae
Description: lncRNA ENSSSA1UGG004424
Source: RNAcentral